This is a long non-coding RNA of Antechinus flavipes (yellow-footed antechinus), 2202 nucleotides long. RefSeq lists it as uncharacterized. The transcript is spliced from 2 exons. Lineage: Eukaryota; Metazoa; Chordata; Mammalia; Dasyuromorphia; Dasyuridae. The record is from RefSeq and is a predicted model, not a curated record.
AUGGGGGACCCACAAGCCUUAGAGACUUUCUUGGUUCGGAAUGGAAGGUCUCGGGGGAAGGAGAGGGGGGAAGGAAGGAAAUCAAUUUGUUCGCUCCUCUCCUGGAGAAGCUUUGGGGCUACCGAAGUCGGCCGCCCAGGCUUAUCUACUAAGCUUCAGCCAACCCGGGCCCCAAAGUCUAGUCGCCCGGAUUUAUCUUCCGGGGAGAGCCUUUCCUCUUGCGUACGGAAUGUUAACUGGGGUAGCUGCUGCAGAAUCCGACAGACCAGAGGAUUGAGUCCGAAGGCGGAGAGGGUGACCGAUUUCUGGCUAAGAAAAAUUAUCCUCUCUCACAAGAGUGGAAGGAAGAGCUUGGGCACAAUGCCCUGGUUACCAGGGGCCGAAAUGGGCCAGGAAAAACUGCUUAGGCUCGAAACCAUGCACAGAUUACCGAGCUCUAGGGACUGGGGGUAGCCCUAUCUGAACUGACAUGGAGGGGAGAACCGAGGGGCUGAAGCUUGUCAGCAAACCCUAUCUCCAGUAAGCUCAGAUCCCGUAUUCCCUCUCAGUCCAUACCACUCCCGGCCCACACCGGUAAGAAAUCCCAGCCGUUUCGGCUUGAUUCAAGCGUUCCCCUUGGGGGGACCAGGUUCUGUUUUCCCUCUCCGCCUCCCAUCCACUGUCCAGCUCAAAGUUUGGGGAAGGGGCAAGUAGUGUAAGUCGAAGAUGUCCACUAGUUCCAGGCAAGAAGUUGAGUACGGGGAAAGAGCUGGAAGGGAGAGGAAUUCGUAGAAGCUAACACAAGAUUUAUGGCUCAAACUGUCCUCCCUCAGCGAGGAGUCUUUAAUUCCUUUCCAAUCAAAACAGAGUUGAGUGUAAGACCCGGCCGGGCGUUGGGAUGGGGGCUGAAGCUUCGGCUCAAGCCAGGUCCUUUCUAAAGACAAACAGGGGGGAGGUGAAACUCUAACGAUCCCCCAAACCGCUUGGCCUCCCUCUUACUCCGAACCUAUUCAGGGCAAUGCGCGGCUCUCUUCCCCAUGGACCCAUUUUCACUUUGCCAAGGGGACCCUGGGAGGGGUGCAGACGUUGGCUGUGCUUCUCCGGGUCUUCUCUAAGAACAAGAGAGGUGAAUGAGAAGGGACAGAGGCAGCGGCUGAAACUGCGGCGACAGGCAACGAGGAGAGAUUCCUAUCUGGUCUCCGGGCCGAGAGGAUUGCGCCGUGGGAAACAAAAGAGCCGUUUCUCCCCUGCUAAGCCAAGCAACAACUGGGGGGGGGGGGUGUGGAGGGAGGGGAGGAGGAGGCUGUGGAUAUGAGUGUAAAAGCCUCAAGGUUGGCUUGUCCUUUGAUUUAAAAAAAAGGGGGGGGGAGUAUUUUGUCAACCCAGCUGGGGCAUGGUUACGUGUUUAUGCUACAUUCCGUCAGAAAAAAAGGCCCCCACAGUUCCGAAUAGACUGCAGCGAAACAAAAGAAGGGCUUAAUCUAAUUAACACAGCCCGAGAAGGGAGCUGGGAGAGGGGAGAUGGGUGGUGGGAGAGGGGUUGGGAGCUAUCGAAUUUCCCUCCAUGGAUUUUAUUUGGAGAAAGCAAAUUCAGGUCCGUAGGGCAGUUAUACUCACCCCUUUCUCUACUCCCCUCAUCCACCCUUUCUCGGGAGUGCGCAGCUCGGGGGGGAAGCGGGGAAGACAAAAGGGGAAAACCUAACCAAACCCUUGAAACAAUUUGCAAAAGUCUUAUCAAGUCCAUUUGAAAAUAAAAUAAAUAAAACUAACUCUUAAACCAUAGCUCUCCUAACCAGCGUGCAAGGGGAGUGGAAAUUGGGAUGGGGGUGCUGGUAGUUCGGGGGUGGCGAGUUGCACAGGGACUUGUAAAGCUGAACGUUUCGGCUCGGAAAAUGGCUGUUGUGAAGUCGAGCAAAAUCCUGUCCCCGCUCCCGGAGGCUUGGGAGAAGCGGGGGGUGGGGGUGGGGGUGAAGAGAGAGGAAGAAAUUACAAGAUCUAGUUUUUAAAUUUAGGUUUUCGGGUAGUGGAGGGGGGAGAAGGCGGGGGCAACACACCAAACACACAACCCACAAUUUUCAAGCGAGGAGAGUAGAGCGAAGCCAAUGAUUAACACCCCAGCCACCCCGCUCCCCACCCCCAAAUAAAUAAAAAGAAAUUCAAACGCCCGCUAGAAGGAGAAGGAGCGGAGCAGCAAGAGCCCUGCUGAACCAUCCGCGGGUGGAC